Molecule: long non-coding RNA, 223 nt
Filed under: Carica papaya (papaya)
Lineage: Eukaryota; Viridiplantae; Streptophyta; Magnoliopsida; Brassicales; Caricaceae
Description: long non-coding RNA (CPAP_LNC000618)
Source: RNAcentral
UGAGUUUUAAUGAAAUUAUGUUGUUGAGUCCUAUAACGAAGUGAAGAGAAAGGUGGUUUAAUUGUUGAAAGGGACUCAAAGGGUUUGUUUGUCCACUUUAUUGAAACUGGGGGAUUUUACACAAGUUGAUAUGGGUGUUGGUAUAGAAAUGACCUCAUAGCUUAACAAAAAUAUGGUUGUUGCUGGUUUUGAAGCCACUUUUUUUUGGGAUAGCGAGGAUGGG